GCACUACUGAAGAGUCCCAAAAUAGGACGAAACGGCCGUCCAGUGC
This 46-nucleotide non-coding RNA is filed under the name Schistosoma mansoni. RNAcentral also lists the same sequence under 1 other name. The record is from RNAcentral. Lineage: Eukaryota; Metazoa; Platyhelminthes; Trematoda; Strigeidida; Schistosomatidae.